RNAcentral lists this small RNA (148 nucleotides) under Macaca mulatta (Rhesus monkey). Its description in RNAcentral is "Metazoan signal recognition particle RNA (ENSMMUG00000052689.1)". The record is from Rfam by way of RNAcentral. Lineage: Eukaryota; Metazoa; Chordata; Mammalia; Primates; Cercopithecidae.
GCUGGGUGUGGUGGCUCACACCUGUAAUCCCAGCUUCUUGGGAGGCUGAGGCAGGAGAAUCACCCGAACCUUGGAGGCAGGGGUUGCAGUGAGCAGAAAUUGUGCCACUGCACUCCAACCUGGGCAACAGAGUGACACCCUGUCUCAA